RNAcentral lists this long non-coding RNA (944 nucleotides) under Meriones unguiculatus (Mongolian gerbil). RNAcentral describes it as "lncRNA (ENSMUGG00000009498.1)". Lineage: Eukaryota; Metazoa; Chordata; Mammalia; Rodentia; Muridae. The record is from RNAcentral.
UGAAAAGACGGAUUGGUUUUUGUCCUCUGUUUCUCAGACACAUUGACGUAGUUUUUUUUAUUUUUUAUUUUUUGUUUUGUUUUGUUUUGUUUUUGAUCAGUCUGAAAAGAAUAAGAGAGGCAAGCUUUCUUUAGGAACCAAUUUAAGAAUAUAAUUUAUUAAAAUUAAAAAUAAAACCUCACAGUGCACUUGGUUUUAGGUAGGCUAGGAGGAGAGGGACGUAUGUGCUAGGGAGGGGCUAUUUCCUAAUUUCCUCUUCCAGGUCCGGUGCAAAACCAACUUGUCCAUUUUCUUUUGGCAAUGACUACAUUACAUCCUUAUGCCUGGGCAGGGAGGCUUCCAGAUCUGCCUGCAUGACUGUCGCUUCUGCUGGCACAAGUGCAUUCAUUAAUUCACUGCCGUGACCACAGAGGCAUUCGUUAAUUCUUUGGUGAUUCGUUCCCACUUGAGAAAUAAGAGCAAAUGAGAUUUGCUGGGGGUGAGGUCUGGGGGGAUGCGCCUCCUACCCCCAGUGGUGGAAUCUGGUGUGGAGGAGUGGGUUGGGGGGGGGUAGUUUCUGGAGCCUUAGAUAGCUUGCUAGUUCCUGACUAGUUGGGGCGUCUGUCGCAGUUCCCAGCUGAGCGCUUUGUGUUUUGGAUUUCGCACAGCUCCUGUGUCCGGUCCAGCAAGAGGCCUCUUACCCACGGCGGCGGUCCCGAGGCCCCACCGACUUCUUCCAGCGUGUCCGGAUGUGGCUAACCCUUGGCGAGCAGGGGCUCUCUGUGAGGCAGCGGCACUCCCGGGAUCUCAGGAGUUCGAGGGUGGCACUGGCCGCUGCUGCACGCGUUUGAGCUGUGGGCAGCGUGUGCCGAGACUAUGGAGGGCUGAGACAGUGAGGUCAGGGCGUUCACGUGGGCAGCCUCUCCGUGGGUGUUAAAAAUAAAAAAGGAAAAAGAAUGAACUCA